RNAcentral lists this unclassified non-coding RNA (261 nucleotides) under Hevea brasiliensis (rubber tree). Lineage: Eukaryota; Viridiplantae; Streptophyta; Magnoliopsida; Malpighiales; Euphorbiaceae. The record is from RNAcentral.
UGGUUUUGCAAAACGUCGGCAUGCAUUGUUUGAUGGCAAUUUCAGCUUCCAUGUAAUGCCUGAACAGUGCAAAGAAAUUGCAUACCCUCAAUUUGUUGUCUUUAGGAGAUAUAAGUGAAAAAGGGAUCAGAAAUUUAAUUUCCAGCUUCAAGUUCCUCAGAAUCCUGAAUAUCAGUGGAUCAGGAAUAAAGAAACUGCACAAAUCCAUUGGUGACUUGAUAUUCUUGAGAUAUUUGGACCUCUCCAACACUCCAAUUGAGA